CAUCAUCCCCACCAACUGUUCGAAGCAAUGCCCAUUCCAUACAUGAAGUGGAACUCCUUAACAUAUCAACCACACUAACUAGUUUCUAGUAUACAAAUCAGAUUGCCAUCUUUCAAUGGCAUUAAACACCUCCUAUAAUCUCUUUUCCUUGCCUUGUCCAUCUCUUUAACUGGUCUUCAUCAAUGCUAGAAAUGAGCACCACAUAUUCUCUUAUGUAUCUUAAUCUCACUUUGCCUGCUCCCAAAAACAAAGACAUUUCUUGCAUUUUAUCCACCAUCUUCAGGUCCUUCAUUCUCCCUAUCCAGUACUAACUCAACCAUUUCAUAUUUCCUU
RNAcentral lists this unclassified non-coding RNA (333 nucleotides) under uncultured bacterium. RNAcentral's name for it is "contains 16S-23S intergenic spacer region". The record is from RNAcentral.